AACUUCUUCCAUCAGCUUCACCCCUUCCCACUCUUUCUUCAAGCUCUCUAUUGCAUUUCCUCUUUCGUUUCUCCAAACAUAUGGCAGCCCACUUUUCACACCAAGCUUUAGGUGAUCACAUGUUACCUUAAUGCAUAAUCCACACCAUAUGUCUUCCAUGGUUUCCCACCGAAACUUCCCUUCCCCAGCCAAUCUCAGCGCUGGACAUAAAGCAGGACCAACCACCUCUCGAUCAAAUGCAACGUUGAUUCCACUCACAGGCAACAUCGCCCCGGCUGGAAUAGUCAGGACUGCAUCGACAAUGCGCG
Molecule: unclassified non-coding RNA, 308 nt
Filed under: Hevea brasiliensis (rubber tree)
Lineage: Eukaryota; Viridiplantae; Streptophyta; Magnoliopsida; Malpighiales; Euphorbiaceae
Source: RNAcentral